Molecule: ribosomal RNA, 446 nt
Filed under: Parvimonas micra
Lineage: Bacteria; Bacillati; Bacillota; Tissierellia; Tissierellales; Peptoniphilaceae
Description: bacterial SSU rRNA
Rfam family: Bacterial small subunit ribosomal RNA
Source: RNAcentral
GACGAACGCUGGCGGCGUGCUUAACACAUGCAAGUCGAACGUGAUUUUUGUGGAAAUUCUUCGGGAAUGGAAAUGAAAUGAAAGUGGCGAACGGGUGAGUAACACGUGAGCGACCUACCUUACACAGGGGGAUAGCCGUUGGAAACGACGAUUAAUACCGCAUGAGACCACAGAAUCGCAUGAUAUAGGGGUCAAAGAUUUAUCGGUGUAAGAAGGGCUCGCGUCUGAUUAGCUAGUUGGAAGGGUAAAGGCCUACCAAGGCGACGAUCAGUAGCCGGUCUGAGAGGAUGAACGGCCACAUUGGAACUGAGACACGGUCCAAACUCCUACGGGAGGCAGCAGUGGGGAAUAUUGCACAAUGGGGGGAACCCUGAUGCAGCGACGCCGCGUGAGCGAAGAAGGUUUUCGAAUCGUAAAGCUCUGUCCUAUGAGAAGAUAAUGACGGU